RNAcentral lists this long non-coding RNA (694 nucleotides) under Ananas comosus (pineapple). Its description in RNAcentral is "long non-coding RNA (ACOM_LNC012566)". The record is from RNAcentral. Lineage: Eukaryota; Viridiplantae; Streptophyta; Magnoliopsida; Poales; Bromeliaceae.
GUUAUUAAAAUGCUACGAGGAUGCGUUUGGAAAGAUUACUAGGAAUAAAAGAUAUCCGAGAAUUUUAUUACUAUUCAUUCUAUUACUAAGAAUAUGGAAUUCCUAUGUUUGGUUCGCACGGUAAUAUUAAUUAGCCAUGUUAUUUAAUAUUACAAAAAAUAUACAAUUAAUUAAUUAAUUUAUUUAUUUAAUUUUAGAUAAUGUUACUAAAAGUUUCAACAUUUUUUUAGAAAAAAGGGAGAGAGAGUAUAAUUAAAAAAAUAGAAAGAAAAAUAUAGUCGAAAUUAGAGGAAGUAAGAGAGUUGAAAUUUUAGAAAGAGAGAGAGAAAGCUUAGUUUAGAGAGAGAAAAAAAGUUGAAUUUUAGAGAGAAAAAUAAGUUUAGAGAGAGAUAUAAGGUUAGAGUGUAACGAAAAAUAAUAUCAAUUAGCCGGCGGGUAGGAAGAAAGAAAGAGAUUAGACAUAUUAUGAUUAUCCCAAUCUAUUAAUAUAAAGAUACCCACCCUCCCUCAAGGGAAUGAGAUUAGUACUUUAGGGUGAAUCUUAUUCCCAAGUGAAUCCAAUAUUACCAACUAGAUUACUUAGUGCGUUUAGCCAAACACCGUCAUAUUUUUUUAUUCCCAUUAGAUUACUAGAAAUCUUUAAAAGAUAGCGCGAACCAAACGCGCCCUAAAGGUCACAUUUUUCAUCAAGAUU